AAAGUCGUAACAAGGUUUCCGUAGGUGAACCUGCGGAAGGAUCAUUACCGAGUUAGGGUUCGUCCAACGAGCCCGACCUCCCAACCCUUUGUCUAUUUUACCUUUGUCGUUGCUUCGGCGGACCGGUCGCGACCAACUGGUCGUGGCCGCCGGGGGUCCACCUCCUGGAGAGCGUCCGCCGAUGGCCCAACCACAAACUCUUGUACCAAACCAUGUCGUCUGAAUUACUUGAUUAAAAUCAAAAAACAAAACUUUCAACAACGGAUCUCUUGGUUCUG
RNAcentral lists this unclassified non-coding RNA (278 nucleotides) under Ascomycota sp. RNAcentral describes it as "partial contains small subunit ribosomal RNA, internal transcribed spacer 1, and 5.8S ribosomal RNA". The stretch from base 1 to 47 matches the Rfam family "Eukaryotic small subunit ribosomal RNA", at positions 1785 to 1831 of the family's 1831-position model. The record is from RNAcentral. Lineage: Eukaryota; Fungi; Ascomycota.